RNAcentral lists this ribosomal RNA (760 nucleotides) under uncultured archaeon. Its description in RNAcentral is "bacterial SSU rRNA". It matches the Rfam family "Archaeal small subunit ribosomal RNA", at positions 102 to 859 of the family's 1478-position model. The record is from RNAcentral.
GGAUAACCUGCCCUUGGGUCCGGCAUAACCCCGGGAAACUGGGGAUAAUUCCGGAUAACGCACAUAUGCUGGAAUGCUUUAUGCGUCAAAUGGAUUCGUCUGCCCAAGGAUGGGUCUGCGGCCUAUCAGGUAGUAGUGGGUGUAAUGUACCUACUAGCCGACGACGGGUACGGGUUGUGGGAGCAAGAGCCCGGAGAUGGAUUCUGAGACAUGAAUCCAGGCCCUACGGGGCGCAGCAGGCGCGAAAACUUUACAAUGCGGGAAACCGUGAUAAGGGGACACCGAGUGCCAGCGUCAUACGCUGGCUGUCCAGGUGUGUAAAAUACACCUGUUAGCAAGGGCCGGGCAAGACCGGUGCCAGCCGCCGCGGUAACACCGGCGGCCCGAGUGGUGAUCGUGAUUAUUGGGUCUAAAGGGUCCGUAGCCGGUUUGGUCAGUCCUCCGGGAAAUCUGAUAGCUCAACUGUUAGGCUUUCGGGGGAUACUGCCAGACUUGGAACCGGGAGAGGUAAGAGGUACUACAGGGGUAGGAGUGAAAUCUUGUAAUCCCUGUGGGACCACCUGUGGCGAANGCGUCUUACCAGAACGGGUUCGACGGUGAGGGACGAAAGCUGGGGGCACGAACCGGAUUAGAUACCCGGGGUAGUCCCAGCCGUAAACGAUGCUCGCUAGGUGUCAGGCAUGGCGCGACCGUGUCUGGUGCCGCAGGGAAACCGNGAAACGAGCCACCUGGGAAGUACNGCCGCAAGGCUGAAACUUAA